Molecule: ribosomal RNA, 492 nt
Filed under: uncultured bacterium
Lineage: Bacteria
Description: partial 16S ribosomal RNA
Rfam family: Bacterial small subunit ribosomal RNA
Source: RNAcentral
AGUGAACGCUGGCGGUAGGCUUAACACAUGCAAGUCGAACGACAACUCACUAAGAGCUUGCGGUUAAGGAUUGCCAGUCGGGGAAGGAUGAGUUAGACAUCGGACUAUAAUUUUUCGUGGGGGAUAACGAAGUGAAAUUAAUGCCAAUAACGAAUACCACCUGAGGGUGAAAGCAGGGGCUUUUCGGACCAUGAGCGUAUGACUGAGUAGCUGUUGGAUGAGCUAGAUGGCGGGGUAAAGGCCCACCAAGGCGACGAUCGGUAGCUGGUCUGAGAGGAUGAUCAGCCACACCGGAACUGAGACACGGUCCGGACUCCUACGGGAGGCAGCAGUGGGGAAUAUUGGACAAUGGGGGCAACCCUGAUCCAGCCAUGCCGCGUGUGUGAAGAAGGCCUUUUGGUUGUAAAGCCCUUUUGUUAGGAAGGAAAGGCUACUGGUUAAUACCCCUCUGAUCUGACGUUACCCAAAGAAUAAGCACCGGCUAACUCCGUG